Molecule: long non-coding RNA, 1283 nt
Filed under: Homo sapiens (human)
Lineage: Eukaryota; Metazoa; Chordata; Mammalia; Primates; Hominidae
Description: HSALNT0025484
Source: RNAcentral
CUCUUGCAAUGAACUCUUUUGCAAUUAACUUUGAAGGACAUGGGGCAGUCAGUCCACCUGCAAGCAAAGAUACAAAGUCUGAGACCCCUGAAAGAGAGAACGCCUUGCUCCAUUCACAUUCACAUCCCUGCCGCUUUUUGUUUGUUUGUUUGUUUGUUUUUGUUUUUGUUUUGAGACUGAGUCUUGCUCUGUCGUCCAGGCUGGAGUGCAGUGGCACAAUCUCGGCGCUUUUUUCUUUUUUUAGAGAUAGGGUUUUGCUCAGUUGCCCAGGCUGGAGUGCAGUGGUGUGAUUAGAGCUCACUGAAGCCUCAAACUCCUGGUCUCAAGCGAUCCUCCCGCUUCAGCCUCCCAAGUAACUAGGACUAAAGGCAGGCGCCACUAGCCCGGCUAAUUUUUUACAUUUCUGGUAGCGAUGGGUUCUCGCUGUAUUGCCCAGGCUGGUCUGGAACUGUUGAGCUCAAGCGAUCUGCCCGCCUUGGCCUGCCAAAGCGCUGGGACUGCAGGCGAGCGCCGCGGCCCCCGUUCCCCAUCGUAUUAUUAAUGGAUGCCAUUGUGCAGUGUUGUCCUGAAGAGAAAAAGCUUCGCGGACCACACGAAAUCGCGGGGUGAGUGUUCCCGCCUACCUCCAUGUCCUCCCGCGUCCAGCGGCUGCGGGCUUUCCCGAGAGCCUUCCCCAGGGCGCCUUUCUCGUCCUCUCAGCGUGGGGAUGAGGGAAUUCAGCGGCGGUUGCAGGCAGUUGAAGCGGGUGCGGCGCUAGUGCAGACGGCGUCACCGUGGAAAGGGCGGCAGCCGCGCGGGAAGGCCGGGCGCUGAGACCGCAUGCGCAGCAGUGCACUGCCCCCGAGGGGCCGAGGCCAAGUCGCGCGAGAGGCGCCAGGGCGGCUGGGGUGGCCGGGGAAAGCCAGGCGUUCCACCCUGCCGGCGUCCACGCGGAAAUGCGGUGAUGGCCGGCGUCCCACACACGAACUGGCAGAGGCAGCGGUGACUGCACCGCCCCAGGGCUGAGGAAGACAGAGUGUUCCGGAGAAACAGUUCUUGAGCAAAGAGAGAGAAAGGCUCCACUGGCAGAGGAACGGCAGAAAAGAAGAGAAGAGAAGAAGCAGCCAGAUGUCAGAGAAGCAGCUUGACUUCAGAGGGAUAGCUUGACAGUGGGACUUCAGAGAGGAGCCUGGCCAGGGAAAGCCAGACUCCAGGGGAUGACCACUUUCCCACUCCAACCCCUUUCCAGCUCCCCUUCCCACUGAAUGCCACUUUCAUCAACAAUAAAAUCCUCUGUAUUCACC